AGGAGGCCAUGCUGGCAAUCCGCGUGCCUGCAAUAGGACAGUCCGAAUUUUUUCUUGCGGUCAUAGAUGGUCCGGAUCCGUUCUCUCCUUAGGCGCGAUCGUACGGUCUAGAUUCAUUUUCUAUUUAAACGUGAUGAAUGGCCUAGAUUAAAGGGAGAUGGAUAUAAAUACCUCACUUCACACCAAACCCUAACCCUAGCUGCCAACCCUCGUUAGAGAAGAAGAACCAGUCGUUAGAGAAGGGAGCCGAACGCCGCCUGCCGCUGCACUGGAGCCACCUCUGACCGCCAAAAAAAGUAAAAAAUUUCUCAUUCGCUCAAAAUUUGAAUUUGAACACCUCCAUGGCCAAAUUGGAGCAAAAGGACCGACGAAUGAGUCAGAAACCACGGGUAAAGCUGGGCGGCACUGCUGCAGGAAAAAUCAAAAACUGCCUCCAAUGAGGCCCUUUCCAAUUCCUAUUUUGUUAGAUUUUUCCAUCAUUUUGUUCACCAUUAUGUUUUUCACAGGUUGAUCG
This 514-nucleotide long non-coding RNA is filed under the name Carica papaya (papaya). Its description in RNAcentral is "long non-coding RNA (CPAP_LNC014337)". The record is from RNAcentral. Lineage: Eukaryota; Viridiplantae; Streptophyta; Magnoliopsida; Brassicales; Caricaceae.